Molecule: ribosomal RNA, 253 nt
Filed under: uncultured bacterium
Lineage: Bacteria
Description: partial 16S ribosomal RNA
Rfam family: Bacterial small subunit ribosomal RNA
Source: RNAcentral
UACGUAGGGCGCAAGCGUUGUCCGGAAUUAUUGGGCGUAAAGAGCUCGUAGGUGGUUUGUUACGUCCGCUGUGAAAUCCUAGGGCUUAACCCUGGGCUUGCAGUGGAUACGGGCAGACUAGAGGUAGGUAGGGGAGAAUGGAAUUCCUGGUGUAGCGGUGAAAUGCGCAGAUAUCAGGAGGAACACCGGUGGCGAAGGCGGUUCUCUGGGCCUUACCUGACACUGAAGAGCGAAAGCGUGGGGAGCGAACAGG